CCUACGGGAGGCAGCAGUGAGGAAUAUUGGUCAAUGGGCGAGAGCCUGAACCAGCCAAGUCGCGUGAGGGAGUACUGCCCUAUGGUUUGUAAACCUCUUUUGUCGGGGAGCAAAAGCCGGACGUGUCCGGCUGUGAGAGUACCCGAAGAAAAAGCAUCGGCUAACUCCGUGCCAGCAGCCGCGGUAAUACGGAGGAUGCGAGCGUUAUCCGGAUUUAUUGGGUUAAAAGGGUGCGCAGGCGGAUUUUUAAGUCAGCGGUAAAAUCGUGGGGCUCAACCCCAUCCAGCCGUUGAAACUGGGGAUCUAGAGUGUGCGAGAGGUAUGCGGAAUGCGUGGUGUAGCGGUGAAAUGCAUAGAUAUCACGCAGAACCCCGAUUGCGAAGGCAGCAUACCGGUGCACAACUGACGCUCAGGCACGAAAGCGUGGGUAUCGAACAGGAUUAGAUACCCGGGUAGUC
This 458-nucleotide ribosomal RNA is filed under the name uncultured bacterium. Its description in RNAcentral is "partial 16S ribosomal RNA". It matches the Rfam family "Bacterial small subunit ribosomal RNA", at positions 338 to 795 of the family's 1533-position model. The record is from RNAcentral.